UCCUGCUGCGGGUCUCGCACCAGGCAGACGGCAGAGCUCUUCAUGCUGACACCUGGAGGGGCUGGGAGGGCUGGAUGAGUGGGAGUUACUGCCGCAUUGAGCCGAUACCGGUAGAUCCAGUGGGUUAGUUUUGCUGUCUGCGCCCAGGGAUGUGUUUUAUGUUGCAUGUUAAGAAUGAGGACACUGGGAGGAGGAGAGGUGUCUGCAAUCAAAUAAUAUCACCUAUCAGGCAGAGGAGUGCGGUGUGGGUUUCCUCCUGCCGGCUUGUCCCCAUGGAGUCUCUGGCCCUUGGGUUCUGCAGCGUUCUGCAAAACUGAUGUGUGGAGAUCCAAUGCCUGAGAGUCUGCUUCGUGAAACCUUGGUUCUGAACUUUGGAGCAAACACCUGAUGUCCAGAUGAAAGAUUUUUGGAAGUUCUCCUCCACUCCGCUUGCAGCUAGCAUUCUCCCCCUGGUUCCAUGCGUUCCCUCACUUGCCAAGGAGCUGCAUGUGACGGUAUAUGAGCAAUCCUCCUGGUGACAUCCAAUCUCCCCUGCUGUGUUCCAGACUCAGGAUCCUGCAAUAAUUUAGCAUCUUUGUUUCUAAACUUAGCUUAGGAAGUAUUAAACUGUUGUUAGCAUGAAGACAGCCAGCUCCAGGAAAGACUUCUUUUUUUUUUCCCCCAGGGGCUCUUAUGUUUCUUACUGUGUAGCUUUUCCUUGUUGCUUCUUUUAACAAGCUUUUGACUUUGCAUUGAGGCAGGAGAGUAUAUGCUUACUGGAUACAUGAGACUUACAAAACACAUAUAGAGAAAAUUCUCACCUCCCGUCUCCUCUCCUGGGGCUAAUGGCUGGUAAACCAGGAGAUACCUCCAUGGUGAAGAGAGUUGUGGUAGGUUCAUCCGUUCAGAUGUUGUCCUACAAUGAACCCUAGUCCUUCCCUCUUACAGUCUUCCCUUGGAGUUAGUCCUAGGUUAGUCCCCUAUUUUUGUAGGUGGUAGCCAUUCUGAUUCCACCUGUUGGAAAUCCCCAACAAGAAAGGAUUCUUCUUGUGCUAUAGCCACUUUUCCAUAUAUUCACCUAUUGUGUCCUCCUUUUCCUCCUUCUUCCACACCCACAGUCUCUGCCUCUGAAACCUUCUGACCUGAGAGGGACCUGAAGGAGAAGAGUUGUGACAAGGUACCCACACUGGGAAACUGCUAAGAGGUUGUAUCUGCCAUGGUUUUGAAGUCAGGACAGAAGUGCUUUUGUCUUGGUGAGAAGAGUUUGUAAAAGCUAAAAUCAGCCCCAUUUAUGGAGGUUCUCUUCCCCUGGGUAGAACUUGGACCCAAGCUUCCUUGGGAUUUCAAACUGCAUGAAACAAAUCUCUGGAGAAGCCAGUGGUGGGUGAGAAAAGGUCUGAUGUGAGGCAGAAAGAAAAGGAAGUCUACAUAAUUAGAUUUAAUAAUAAAUAAAUAAGGUACCAAACAGACCUGAAGCAGCAGCUGAGACUUUGGAGAAACUUGUCACAUGUAUUGUCAUUUUUUUUUCUCCUGAGGGGGAAAAGAAAGAAAGUGAAAAAAAAUCAAGGGAAGCAAAACAUUUCCUUUGCUUUGCAUAUUACAAAAGGCGCCAAAUGUGGAAAAGAAGAAGAGCAAGUAGGCUGAUAAGAGUUUUCAUUUCAUCCCCCUCAGGGUGCCGACUUACCAGUGGUAACCUCGUGGUCUGCUGAUGUCAUUCACACAAAGCAGUUACUUCUGAAGAGACAGGUUUCCUCAGAUUUUACCAUCUGAGGAAAAAAUAGAGGAAAAAAUUGUUUGAAAGGGAAAAAAAUGUUAAGGUGUCUGUGUUUUACCAAAAGCCUUUGUAGGAGGUUAUUAACUUCAAAAGAAAACUAAAUUUAUCGUAACUUCUCUCCCUCCCUGUGUUUCUGAAAAGAGUCCUUGCUGUGAUUGUCUGAGCCAUUAAGUGCUCCUGGAAGGGUGACCAAGUCCUGUGCUCCCAUGUCUGUGUGCUUACUGAUUUAUAAACCUCUCUGUAGGCAGAAAGAAGAAGGGGAAAUUUCCCCUUUGGUGGCAGAUGGGCUCCAAAGGCUAAAAUACAAUUAUUAUGCAGACUCUCAACAUGUAAAAAAUGGUAGAAAAAAGUCCACCUUUAAGGUCCGAAUGAGGGAAAGUUUUUUCUCAAGCUCUCAAGGGAGCAGAGACUUCAUCACCCCAAACUUUUUCUUCUUUUUGAACAAUGAUUUCUGAAAGAAAGACAAGGUUUAAAAGUAGCUUCCAGAGAUGAGCUAUGGGUGCCACCUGUUCAUUUUGAAUGUUAGCCCAGGAUCCACACAAACCUGCUGCACUCGCCAGGUACCUGUUGGACAAUUUGAAGAAAAGCUUUUUAAAGUGUCUGCACUGUGGGACUGGCAGAGGAGAGAUUCAUGUUUUCUUUUGCAUUGCACUACUACCCAUGCUCCGAAGGAGGCAGGAAGGUGACUGGACUGCUCACACCAUUGCUGAUGCAAGAGAGUUAAUCUGGCAUGAAGCAGAAGGUGGAAGAUUUUAUAAAAGCUCCUGCCAUGUGGUGGUGGUUUCUGGUGCUCAAAUACACAUUUUCUACAAGUGUGACACGUGCUGGCAUUGUCUUCAAGAAAACCUUCUCCUCCCAAUGCCCUGAUCAGAUCUCCCUGCUGCUCUGGUCCGUAUGAACUUGAUCUUUAUGUUCCCUGUCAAUGCCACAGUUUGGCAAAGCUCACCUCUUCAUGUUCUAGUCCUUCUCUCCUUGCAGCAGGUAGACUUGUAUUUGGUGGCUAGUGAUCUUUUCAGGAGAUACAGUUUUGGGAUUAGCCAGUCAGUGCUGAGCAGUGCUGAUGGAAAGAGUGCUAGGUUCACUGUUGGCAGGGAGACAGGUUGUUCUGCACACACUGUUCAGACUCAGCUGGAUGCUGUCGGCAAGGCUGGGUUUGGUGCUGUAGAGCCUCGCGGUAUGAGGUGAAGCUUCAGGCAGUUUCAGCGUGAAUGAACACUCAGCUGUGCCCGACCUGGCAAGUGCAGGGUGAGAAAAUUCACGAAUCCUUUCCUAGGGACACAGGUAUUUCAGCUUGGAUGCAUGGCUUCCAGUCAGCAUCUUGAGCCCUGCUAGCUACUUGGAAGAGGGCAUGCAAGAACAGGAGACCAAACUGGAUGGGACUGGAGGGAAGCAGGUCCCAAGGUGGCAGGAGGGACGGCAGGGUAGCCACUGCAGUACUUGCUGCCUGUAAGAAACCUGCACUGGGCAGGAGGACAGCAAGGGAAGCAUGGAAAACAAAAUAAACUGUGCGCCGGUUAGUGCUCGCCCCUGCUCCAGAGCGUGCCCCACGUAAUUCCAGCUGUGUUACUUGAUGUGUACUGGUGCACGUGACAGCCCAGCUGGACUUGGUGUUCUCUGUGUCUCUGAAGUAAUUGAGGUACUUAGGAAAUGGGUAGUUAAAAAGCCCACAUAUCCCUGAAGUAACCUUAGCUGCAAAAUAAGUCACUUAAUUAGCAUACAGUAGAUACUUAUUGUUAAGUGAGAAUGCCAUCCCCUCCUGCAGGGAUUUGAGUUAAACAUGGUGAUUGAUAAAUUGUUAUAUUCACACAGUGUCACUCAGUGAUAUAAUCAUGGCUUUUGUAAAUAUUUAGUCAAGAGAGCAAUCCAGCUGUUCCCAGCCAGGUUUCAUCCAGUGUCAGCCAACGUUCAGUGCUGCUGAUUUAUUUCAUGUGUUGCUUAAGCCCUGAGUAAGAUCACAUUUUUAUGAGUCUCGAAAUACCUAUGGUAAUAAAUAGUGAGAGUGCCAGAGCUAAUGACAACAGCAGAAAAAAUUAUACAGAAAGAUAUUACCCUGGGCCCAGAAUAUGGCCAAGUACUUAACCAUUUGUAGUUUUUCAGGACAACUACUUAGCAGCUUUUGUCUAGAUUUAUAGCCAGGCAGCCCUCAACAGAUGCCAUUGAAAAUGAAAGCUGAGCAGGAACAAUUUUUCGAAAUGGUUCUAGCAUCUCCCAAAGCUUGACUUAGCUGUUGAAGAGGUCUGAGGUUUAAAGCAGUGUUGGACAAGGAUUGGAAAUGCUGUUUUCCAAAGGAUUUCAAGAUUUUGAAAUUUACCCUAAGUUCAAUUUAGAAUGAAAGCCCCAAAUUUAGAAAUUUCUCCUGACAGAGGAGGACUCCAGGAAGGAUUCACUUCGACUCAACUGUGCUGGUUUUGCUAUGCAAUACAAUACUAGAAAGUAAAGAAAUACAAGUAUGUUUAAAAUGAGAAGUCAUUUUGACAUGAAAUACUGACACUGUUAACUCUGAAGGUGCCGAAACCUGGCACAUUCAUGGUGUUGGAGCUUUCUUGGUCUUUUUUUUGCCUAAAACACAUUUCUGCAAAACUGACAUUUUUGUGAGGCAUUUUGGUUUUAAUGAAUCUAUAUUUUCUGAUAUGUCUUUUCUGACCAUGUUCUCGUUUGAAGAAACACCCAUACAACUUUUCCUCACUCAUCUGUCUCACUUUUAUUCUGGGAACUCUUCAGGAAUAGCUUUUGUUCUCAUGUCAGUUCUUUGUUGAGGAACUGUCUGUUGUGAUGUCCUACACGCAAGACUUGGAAGUUAUUCAUAAAAAAGGAAAGUUUAAAAAGGAUGACACCCAAUUUGGGUUGUAUUGCGUAUUUGAGAUAGCAUGCUUCUCCCACAGGACAAGAUGGUAGAUGCUGAAUUUAACUUAUUCCCAGUAAAAAUCCUCUUCUGUGACCCAUAUAGACACCUCUUACUGACAACAGAGGAACAAAUUAUCUUUGCUGCCAAAGUUUCAUUUGCAGAAAAUUCAGCUUUUUGUUCUCACUUUGCAAUUUAUGUUCUUUCUUGUUCAGAAGCAGGUCAUAAUGACAGGGUGUUCCUAAUUUUCCAGGGAACGUGGACAUUUUGAAAAGAAAUGCAGUAUUAACGGUGGGCUGAGUAUCUGCAAGAAAGUAAGCUUAGAUCAAUACACGCAGUCUUUUGCUAAAUUGGAUCUUAAAGUAUGGGGGAACAACAGACUCCAGGAGUGGAAGUAAAGUCUAGGAGAUGCCUGAAAGCAACUGUAGCUCACUGAGAAUGAGGUAAGGUCGUCCUACAGCACCACAGCCAGAGUGAAGCAGAGACUUUUAUUCAUUGAGUGCAUGGAAACAUCUGAGGCAGAGGAAAAGCUAUUUCAAAUGAGCAUUAGCAUGCCUGUUGGUACUCUCAGGCUGAUAUCAAGGGCGCCCUUGAGCUCCGAGCCAAGUGGAGGUACACCCCUUGAGAACCUGAGGUGACAAAGUGCAGGUGGAAAUGCUGUUCAAAUGUAUAUUUAAUGGACAUGGGGAUAAGCUGUGUUCCAGCCAGCGAAGGUAAAAAAAAAAGAGCACACAAAACCCCUCUAACAACAUCUUAUGGUCGAUAGCACUAAUGGGAAGUAGAACUUAGAAGCCAAUAAAAUUAAUCUAAAGCCAACAAAUUCAACUGCAGAAAUGAGUGGAUGACUAGCAAUUUUUAAGCCAGCUGCCCAGUGUGUCUUUUGUGUUCCCUUUUUGUGCCUGAGAUGUGGGGGUAGUAAAGAAACUGGAGUGUUCUGCUGCAGAAUCCAGCUCAAGUUGUGUGAAUUUGUUUGUUUUUGUCGUCUAGGCCUUCAUUCUGAUUUUCAUGGUAGCUAAAAGGGAGUUAUGCAAAUCAGUACAGAAGCAGAGAUUGCUCUUUGCCAUUUUCUGGCAAUAAUCACCAUUUUCUGACAAUAAUCACUAUUUUCCAACAAUAAUCGCCAUUUUCCAGUAACUGAGAACUAUAGGGACAAUACUUCAAAUUUUCAUUGUCAGCAAAUGCAUUAAAAAUGCUAAUGCUAGUCGCCUUAGCCAUAUUUAUCUGGUUCUUAUGAAGGCUCCUUCAUGCACUUGCAGAAGUUUCCCGGUGUGAACCAGUUCUUGCUUCCACAUAGAAGCUGAGAAUUUGGGGUUUAUUAUUCCCAUCCAGCCAUGAUGUGAAGUCUUCCCACUCACUUGUUUUUUGUGGGCUAAUAUUCACCAAGGUUGGCGUUCGUCUCACCUAACUGUAGUUAUUAAAAAAUUACAUGGUUAUCUAAGUGAGUAGGCUGGGCUGCCUCUGUAGUCGAUGAUGAGACUUGGGUACGAUGAUUCAUUCCAUCCUCCCAGGUAUCACCCUCUGGAGGUGCCCAAGUCUCCACAGGGAGACAGAUGGCUAAGGUUAGGUGAGGUGAACCUCAGCCCCAGUGCUCAGCAAUAACUUCUUGGCGUGUGCCCAGGACACCUGGGGUUCCCUGGGGAAAUCACCCAUCCAAGCGCUAGUCAGAACUUGCACCUUUUAGCAUCCAGAAUUAGAGGAGUGCAUAUGCUUUCUUUCGGUCCAGUGUACUUGUAUGCUUUGUGUGAAAUAGAAAAGACUUUGCCCCACGUUUGACCUACAUACUUACAUACAAAUACCGCCUUAAAUUACAUAUUCAAUAUUUUUUAUACAUCUGCUGUCUGUGUGAACAUGCACAUAUUUUCUGCAUAAUAAUAUUCAGAUAUAUGGUUCUCUAUGAUAUUUUAUUAUUAAAGUGCUGGCAAUAUGCUCAAAGCUUUUAAAAAAUACAGAUAAAGGCAAUUCAUGUCAGAAGGAGGUUGUAACAAAGGUGAACAUUAGAUUCAUAGGGAGUGAGAGACCAGAAGAUUCUGGCUUCACUGUUUGUUUUUCCUGUGUUGCACUGUGGGUGAGGUGAAGUGUGUAGCUGCCCUCUCAGUGGCUUUUGGACUGGUUGGCCAGCUUCAACCAAAUAUAACCAAAGAGCAGGUUGUCUGAAGAGAUAAAGCUCUCUGAAAAAAGGCAGCUAUUUAGAAAAGAUUGUGCCUUCACUGAGGAAAAGGUACAAUGUGAGGCAAUGUUAGGCUCUAAAGGAUCUGCACAGUAAUCCUGUGCAGAAAUCCUACCGUGGGAAGAGCAUCCCCUGUCACUGGUAUUGUGCUGAACCCUAGGGAACUGGGCAAGGACACCCACAGGAAGCAACACAUUGCUGAUUUUGUCAUGCAAGAAACAUAUUUUAUGCUAGUAGUGACCUUUACCUUUGAAUCUUCUUUAAGAAGGGAAGAUUUUAAGAGUUCUCCCCACUAUGGGAACAAAGCUCAUUAACUGGGAGAAGGAGCAGUGGAGGACAGAAACAAGAGGUGAAGCUGAGUGCUGGUAGAAUGAAAGUGUGAAAACAAGGAGGAAUUAAGUAUUCCUACAGGCCCCUGCCAUUUUCCAUGUGCAGAAAUAUCUAUAAUUUCUGUUCAACAUAACCUUAAGAUGAAAAAUAUUUUUCCUUAGGUAUUAUGUUCCUGGUUAGUCUUAAUUGGUGAGUGCAUCUCUCAUGAGCUCUGCUUUGUGGAUUUUUACCUUGUGCUCUGUGAUAGCUCCCAGUAGCUUUGUAGGAAGGAGUAAACCUCUGUCACCUACUUCAACAUGCUUUCAAGAUACAGCUUUAUCAGCUUAUGAGAAGAGCUGCUAGGUACGACAGUCAGGAAAAGCAGAGGAAAGAAUUUGUUGGCCAAAUAUGUCAGUUCCUGUCCUGGGCAUUCUAUGAAUAUAGCUUUAUCAACAUGCUUUAUCAACAACAGGCAGACCCAGGGUACAAAUAGUUUCCAUCUCUGUCUGCUGAUGGUAAGAAUUAGGAUUAUCUUUAUCAGAUCUGGAACAUGCCUCUGAUGCACCUAAUGUCUGUUUUGGUUUUAGUGCCGAUGCAGACUUCUGUACUAGCUUGUGUCUGUUCUGAAGAUAAGAAGAGAGGAGCCAGGUUUCUAAUCUGAGAUUUUCUUACCACAUUUCCUUAGUCUUUUCUUAUUACAUUCUUUUAGCACAGGGACAGGUAGACUUGGGUUGUUGAAUUGGGUGGGUUGAAGCACAUGCUGUUCUUCUACCCCACACAUAGCCUCAGCUGUCCCACGGGGCUCUGGGUCAUCCUAUGCAAUGCAGGUUGCUCAAGACUAUGUGUGCAAGGUGCUCUGUGGAUCUCUUUCCAGUUCAGCUUGUGGCCUUUUAGGCAAGCUGUUUACUCUGUCUUGCUGCUAUUUUGGACUUCGGUCUUCCCAAGAAGCCUUUCCAGGGAAAGCUGAGGGAGAAACACACACCCUGGAAGAUGACAGUCAUGGCAGAUGUUUUCAGUGUGCCUGCCCACAUGCCCUGCAGUAGCCUCUGGACUAGUGGAAGCUUCCUGAUCAGUGGAAGAACUGGUUGGAUUACAGACUGUAGGAAGCAGAAAUGUCUGCAACAUUCUUCUAUGUUUUGUAUUCCCCUCAGACACAUCUUGAGUGAUUUCUCAAGAUUGUAUCAGCCAACAUGCUGCACUUGCAAUUGGUGAGGUGUAUCACUAGUUUUCAUCUUUCUCUGAAAUGUAAGGUACUGGCCACUAGAUUUGAUUUACAAUUAAAUGGUAAAUUCUACAGUAUAUUCCCAGGACCCUGGAAGUGAUAAGUCAUUUGAGCUGUAUUUUUAAUAGAUUGUUAUAAAUCAUUUUUUUAUUGCUGUAAUUGAAUGAGGUGCUUUAGAGAAACAGAAGAUUGUACGUUCCUUGCCCCUAGGAGUUUGCUUGCUAAGUACAUCUUGAGGUACAAAAGGUACUUUGUGUAAUUUUAUGCAGUGCGAGCCCUUGCUACUAAUGACAGUGCUAUAAAUGUGGCCCAUAUCCUGAAACAACUUAAUGUGUGCUUAACAUUGAGGAUUUAGCAUGCCUCCGGAUGAGUAUGGUGAUUCAUGCUGGAGAAUACAAAAGACUGCCUUGUCUGUGGCACCACCUGCCCUUCUGCCAGACACGACUGCCCUGCCGCUAAGUUAACAGAUGCAAGGGUGUGCUGGCUUCAGCCCUGCUGCAGCUCACAGCCCAGCAAAUUAGCUCAGGACCUGUGAACAGCUAUGCUAGGUCAGAUCAAAGGUCUAUCCAGUCCAAUGUCAUCAGGUUUCUGACAGUGACCGGGGAAAGAGCAGAAGGAAUAGGGCAAACACAAAAUGAACCAUUCUCUGGCAUAUUAUCCCAGCUUCUGACAAAGAGCAUUUUAGGGACUUUAUGAGACAAAGUUUUUUUUAAUGGGCUGGUGGACCUAUCUUCCAUGAGUUUAAGCUUAAACUGAAAUCGAUGUAUUUGCAGUGUGGUCGUAUCCAGCCUGGUUAAUUCAAUUCUGUAUUUUCAUCUUCCCUUGAUGCAUCUUCAGAUAAGCAUCUGUGGCUUAAAGCUGUGGUAUAGUGUUUGCUAGAGCAAUUUCAUAGCAGCUGCAUUCCACCACAGAGAUAGGUCCAUUUUGGUGGUAAGCGAUCCUUAGAUUUAAAUAAUCUAUAAUUCUUUGGAGCACUUUUUGGGCUUGUAAAAGGUGUUAUACAAAUCAAUGAAUAAUUUUCACUCACCAUUGUUUGUAAUAUAUUCUUAAUCCUCAACUGAAAAUAAAAAUUCUUUUCCUAUUGAUUUUCUACUUUUAUGUUUUUCCAAAUUGAUUUUUCCUUUUCCUAAUGGAGCAGAAACUAACAUAUCUGGAUUUCAGUUACUUCACCCUUUCUGCUUCAGCAUCGUUUAGGAUAUCAGAAGGAAUAAAACCAGCUCUGAUGACUAGUAUUCAUUCAUUAACUUCAAGGGAGCUGACACUAUUUUAAUCCAUUUUAAGGGAGAGUGUAUCUUUUGGGUUUUUAAAUUUCAUCAGUAGAUUUGUAGGUAGUCUCAAACAGGUAUUAAAGAGACACGUAUAAAUAGAUUAUGACUUGUGAAGAUGAGGUGGGAGAAUUAAGCAGAGUUUAAAGUAGGCCAGUUUGUUGGGUUGCAGAAGCAUGGUUUGAAGCUGUCACUGAAAAUGUGGUCAGGGUUUUGCAGGGUUUUGAGAAUGUGUUUCCAUUUCUGCACACCAUGACCCUUCUACAUUCAUCUGGAACAGCAACAAGCUAAGUAUUCUUAUGGUAUUUUCAUUUCAGCUUUGAUCAGGAAGAAUCACAGUUGUCUUGAAAUACCCCAUUUCUGUCCAAGUAUGAACCUCAACUAGGGGAUUGGUUUUGUAAAGAUGGCAAGCAUUCCUUUCUAUUCAGGAGACUGAACGGGCCUUUGAGCACCACGUGGCUGUGAAACAACCUGAGAACUUCUGAAAUGUUUAGCCUGAAAAAGUUGUGAAAGACUAGAUUAUUCCCUCAAAAGAAAGAGUGUUAUCUGAAAUAAAUAGUGUUAUCAGCUUCUGAAUCAAUGUUCAUUAAGAAGAUCAACUAUGGUUGGAGGCUUAAUACAGUGACUUAAUACAGCCACGGCCAGUGACUACAGGAUAAUAGUUCACACUACUGUUGAGAAAAAUGAGAUUAAAGACCGCUGAGAAAAACUAACUUUUUUUUUAAUUCAUUGGAUCUUACGAAAUUCAGCCCAGGGUAGAGAGAGACAGAGAACUGGCUGAAACAGUCCCAGAAAGUUUAGUGUUUAUCCCCAUAAGUCCUGGAGGACAGGAGAGGUUCUGGAGGACAGAAAAAGGACAGAGAUAAUACCUAUCCAUAACAAGGAGAAAAAACUGAAUCCAGGGAUUUGUAGUCAAGUCAGCCACCUGCCAAUACAUGGAACAACAAUCAAACAAUCGAUCGUAAGUACCUCGAGGAUAAUGAGGAUAUGAGCAUAACAGCCAGCAAGGAUUUGUCAGGAGAAAAUAAUCUGAAACCAAUCUCUUUUCCUUCUGAGGCAAGACAACAGACCUUUCGGGUAGGAAAAAGGCAGCGGGUGUCACGUGUUCUGAUUUUAAUAAGGCUUUUGAUGCUAUUUUACAAGAUAUUGUCAUAAACAACCUGGAAAAAAAACCAGGAUGAGAAAAAACAGUUAUCCUAGGUCAGUGCACAGCUGGAUGACCAGCUAUAGUCAGAGAGCAUUUAUUAAUGAUUAACUGUGAAACUGGAAGGAGGUCUUGAACAGGGUGCUUUCACUAAUGACUGGGCUGGUGGAAAGUAGGGAGUUAUUGAUCAGUUUGCAAGAUGUCUGCGAGCAAGAUGGAGAAGGGGUUCAGAAUGGAAAACAAUUUGGAGAAGUUGGAGGAGUGGACUGGACAGACUGGGGCACCGGCAGCUGCAAGGCUCUCUGCUGAGGCAGGAACACUUAACGGCACUAAUGCAAGGAUAGGAGGUGACUGGCUAAGCGGCUGUCCUGAGGAGGAAUAUCUCGGUCUUGGAGUUGAUCGUCUUAGAAUAAGUUACACAUGAGGUAUGACUCAAUAGAACUGCACGUUUAUGAUGAAAUAGAAACAUGAUCCAUGAGAGAAGAUCGAACAAAUUUGGGUUGCCUAAAAUAAAGAGGAAAGAAGGAUCAUGGUAAGUCUUGCAAGGUGACUGAAAAGAAGAAAGAAAUAAUCUUAUUCUCUUUGUCUGCUGGGAUAAGGGGUAAUGGACUUUAACUGCAGUGAAAGACACAUAGCUUAGAUGCCAGCAAGAUCCUUCUAUGAUAAUGGCAAAAUGGGGAAAUAGGCUGCUUGGAAGCUUACCAAAUGCCCACCACUGGAGGUUAGACAGAUAUCAGUCCAGAGUGAUGCAAGUCUAGAAAUUUAAUUUCUUUGCAUUUUAGUCCAGAUAAGCCUACCUUGUCUAUGAAGAGCUAAGAUUUUCUCUGUUCCUCAGUGUCUUACAGAAUAUUGUUAGCAUUUAGCAUCAGUUAAAAUGGCAGUCUUACGAUUUGCUCUCCACCUUUGCUCAGACUUAUCCAUUAGUCUUGAUCCGGUUAAAUAAAUAUGGUUUAG
Molecule: long non-coding RNA, 11656 nt
Organism: Cuculus canorus (common cuckoo)
Lineage: Eukaryota; Metazoa; Chordata; Aves; Cuculiformes; Cuculidae
Exons: 3
Source: RefSeq, a predicted model, not a curated record